GACGAACGCUGGCGGCGUGCUUAACACAUGCAAGUCGAACGGAAAGGCCCAGCUUGCUGGGUGCUCGAGUGGCGAACAGGUGAGUAACACGUGGGUGAUCUGCCUCUAACUUCGGGAUAAGCUUGGGAAACUGGGUCUAAUACCGGAUAGGACAAUCGUCUAGUGUCGGUUGUGGAAAGUUUUUUCGGUUAGGGAUGAGCCCGCGGCCUAUCAGCUUGUUGGUGGGGUAAUGGCCUACCAAGGCGUCGACGGGUAGCCGGCCUGAGAGGGUGGACGGCCACAUUGGGACUGAGAUACGGCCCAGACUCCUACGGGAGGCAGCAGUGGGGAAUAUUGCACAAUGGGCGCAAGCCUGAUGCAGCGACGCCGCGUGGGGGAUGACGGCCUUCGGGUUGUAAACCUCUUUCGACAGGGACGAAGCUUUGGUGACGGUACCUGUAUAAGAAGCACCGGCUAACUACGUG
RNAcentral lists this ribosomal RNA (464 nucleotides) under uncultured bacterium. RNAcentral describes it as "partial 16S ribosomal RNA". It matches the Rfam family "Bacterial small subunit ribosomal RNA", at positions 28 to 507 of the family's 1533-position model. The record is from RNAcentral.